RNAcentral lists this ribosomal RNA (306 nucleotides) under uncultured bacterium. Its description in RNAcentral is "partial 16S ribosomal RNA". It matches the Rfam family "Bacterial small subunit ribosomal RNA", at positions 507 to 807 of the family's 1533-position model. The record is from RNAcentral.
GACAGCAGCAGCCACGGGAAUACGGAGGGGGCUAGCGUUGUUCGGAAUUACUGGGCGUAAAGCGCACGUAGGCGGCUUGGUAAGUUAGAGGUGAAAGCCUGGAGCUCAACUCCAGAAUUGCCUUUAAGACUGCCGAGCUAGCAGGUGAGAGAGGUAAGUGGAAUUCCGAGUGUAAAGGUGAAAUUCGUAGAUAUUCGGAAGAACACCAGUGGCGAAGGCGGCUUACUGGCUCAUACUGGACGCUGAGGUGCGAAAGCGUGGGGAGCAAACAGGAUUAGAUACCCCGGUAGUCCCUGUCUCUUAUAC